GAUGAACGCUGGCGGCGUGCUUAACACAUGCAAGUCGAACGGGAAACCUUUUAUUGAAGCUUCGGCAGAUUUAGCUGGUUUCUAGUGGCGGACGGGUGAGUAACGCGUGGGUAACCUGCCUUAUACAGGGGGAUAACAACCAGAAAUGGUUGCUAAUACCGCAUAAGCGCACAGGACCGCAUGGUCCGGUGUGAAAAACUCCGGUGGUAUAAGAUGGACCCGCGUUGGAUUAGCUAGUUGGCAGGGUAACGGCCUACCAAGGCGACGAUCCAUAGCCGGCAUGAGAGGGUGAACGGCCACAUUGGGACUGAGACACGGCCCAGACUCCUACGGGAGGCAGCAGUGGGGAAUAUUGCACAAUGGGGGAAACCCUGAUGCAGCGACGACGCGUGAAGGAAGAAGUAUCUCGGUAUGUAAACUUCUAUCAGCAGGGAAGAUAGUGACGGUACCUGACUAAGAAGCCCCGGCUAACUACGUG
Molecule: ribosomal RNA, 478 nt
Filed under: uncultured bacterium
Lineage: Bacteria
Description: partial 16S ribosomal RNA
Rfam family: Bacterial small subunit ribosomal RNA
Source: RNAcentral